AAUACUUUUAGUUAACAAUAAUAACAUAUAAGGUUUUUACACAUAAUUCAAAUUGUUUAAAACAUCUCCGCUCCUCUACUUUUUUCCAGGUUAAGCAUCAUUAACUUCAGCAUCAAAAACCUUUCCCGGGAGCAGCAGCAAGCGUUUGGUCGAUGGUUCAGUCAGUCCAUGAGCUUGCAAAACAUGACAGCUGGCAGCUUAUCCUUUAUCAGAGACACUGGUAACCUAAUCGCCUAUCUGCCCUUCAAGAGCUUCCAGUACCUCUCACCUGCUCAGGUAACAGCCCCAGCACCUCACAAAGGUACCUGAACCCAUCUGGCUCCGGUUAACCCUCAGGCAGCUCAGCUGGAGAAAAUGCCAAUGCUUGCCACUGGUUCAUUGUAACAGACAUGACCUCGUAGUCUGUUUUCAAUGAAUAAACACAGAAACACAUGAAUUAAGAAUGGCUUUGUAGUGGACUGUGGUGCUAACACCAUAAUGAAAGGCUCUUCACUGCUGUCCAUAUGAACAGGACAUUUCAGAAUACACAAAUAAAUGUAAAAUGAAAUAUACAAUUUGGUAAACAAAUUAGGAUGUGUAGGAUUUACCUCGAAACAAUCAGAAAUUCCAAGUCAAUUUCACAAAUAAUUACAAAGCAAUAAAAACAGCAAUUAACGUUGAAUUAAACAUGAAAUUUUCAAAGUAGAAUGGCCAUACAAGUGUUUUCUUGUCAAAUUUACUCUAAUAAACUAUGUUUUAUUUAAAACUUAGAAAAAUCUGAUUUUAUAGUGUAGUCAUUCCAUUUUAAAAAUGACACUUUAAAUUCAUAUUUAAAAUGGCCAUUUGAUAGUUUGAAAUGACUAAUAAAUAGUCUUAAAUUAUCAGUUGACAUAUCAUGACUAAUUUUGUUUUGUUUUCUUAGCUGCUGGAUGGUUUGGAUGUCCUGAUGAGUAACCCGUUGGGUCUCCUUAAGCAGCAGUUCAUCGCUCAGAGUCUCAUUGGAACCUUCGGGAAUCUCACUGUCGACCAGAUCAGGAGGUUAGGUAAUCUGUCCUGUCUGGCUCACCCCAGCCAGCUGAUGGCAUAUGCAGGAACAGAAGCCUUCUCAGUGAUCCAGGACAACAUCAGGACGUGUGCGGUCCAGGGUUUUAGUGUUCCUAGCAAUAUGGUCAGUAAACAUGGUCCAGAUCAACUCAUCUCAUUUAUCGUUGUCACUUAUAUUCACCCUCUUCAUUAAAAAACAACCCCUACUUGAAAAAUAUCCC
This is a long non-coding RNA of Cyprinus carpio (common carp), 1244 nucleotides long. Lineage: Eukaryota; Metazoa; Chordata; Actinopteri; Cypriniformes; Cyprinidae. The record is from Ensembl.